Molecule: ribosomal RNA, 464 nt
Filed under: uncultured bacterium
Lineage: Bacteria
Description: partial 16S ribosomal RNA
Rfam family: Bacterial small subunit ribosomal RNA
Source: RNAcentral
ACGAACGCUGGCGGCGUGCUUCACACAUGCAAGUCGAACGGAAAGGCCCUGCUUGCCGGGUACUCGAGUGGCGAACGGGUGAGUAACACGUGGGUGAUCUGCCCUGCACUUCGGGAUAAGCCUGGGAAACUGGGUCUAAUACCGGAUAGGAGCCAUUUUUAGUGUGAUGGUUGGAAAGUUUUUUCGGUGUAGGAUGAGCUCGCGGCCUAUCAGCUUGUUGGUGGGGUAAUGGCCUACCAAGGCGGCGACGGGUAGCCGGCCUGAGAGGGUGGACGGCCACAUUGGGACUGAGAUACGGCCCAGACUCCUACGGGAGGCAGCAGUGGGGAAUAUUGCACAAUGGGCGCAAGCCUGAUGCAGCGACGCCGCGUGGGGGAUGACGGCCUUCGGGUUGUAAACUCCUUUCGCUAGGGACGAAGCUUUUUGUGACGGUACCUAGAUAAGAAGCACCGGCUAACUACGUG